Molecule: long non-coding RNA, 732 nt
Filed under: Gossypium raimondii (Peruvian cotton)
Lineage: Eukaryota; Viridiplantae; Streptophyta; Magnoliopsida; Malvales; Malvaceae
Description: long non-coding RNA (GRAI_LNC000650)
Source: RNAcentral
UUGUCUCUUCAUCUGACAUUCUUUUUCAAGACACUUUCAAAUUCCUAAGGAAAAGCUCUUUUCCAUCUAAUCCAUUGCCAUCCCUUUUCAAACUCCCCCACAUUUCAUCUUCUUCCUUUCAUAUUCAAUCUAGUUCUUUCACCCUACCCCUUUCCUCUUGCUUUUCUGCAGAUUCAGGAGCACUUCCAAUAAGGUAAAUUUCCUUCUUACUCUUCAUCGUUUCAUUUGCUAAAAUAUGCGCAAGACUGUUUGCUAUUCGUGGGGUAUAUUCAAAUCUACAUUCCCUAUAUUUUAACAAUAGAUGAUGAAUAUCAUGAAUACAAGCACAUACCAGAGACUUAUCUGGGCUUUUCGCCUUACACUUUUUUAUUAUUGAUAAAGAAUCUCCUUCAAUAAUGAUUUUUUUCCAUUGCAUGUCAAUGUCGAUCUGGAUCGCUUUUCGGCACGCAAGUGCCUCAGCCGCGAAAGCUGAUACAACUCGUUGAUGGAUCUCCGAGCAUGAUAAAAGAACAUUGCCCUCACUAUCUCUAGCCACGAUCCCCACUGCCGAUUAGCAAAGUCUCCCAUCGUAUGCUGCAUCAAAAUUAAUCUUCACAACCUAAAACUUUCCUUAUUUAUUUAGCACCUGAAAAGUUCAUUAUAAGAACUGAUAAUCAGGCAGUUAAACAGUUUUUAACUAACAAUAGUUUAGAAACUGUUCCUAGAAGAAUUAGGUGGUAUAAUGAUUUAUGU